Molecule: small nucleolar RNA, 109 nt
Filed under: Cephalotus follicularis
Lineage: Eukaryota; Viridiplantae; Streptophyta; Magnoliopsida; Oxalidales; Cephalotaceae
Description: Plant small nucleolar RNA R71
Rfam family: Plant small nucleolar RNA R71
About the family: R71 is a member of the C/D box family of snoRNAs containing the C (UGAUGA) and D (CUGA) box motifs.
Source: Rfam by way of RNAcentral
AAACCAUGAUGAGGACACUCUAAGAGAAGAUCCUUAAAACGUUCCAUAUACACAUAGAAAAUGAUUCAUUGGGUUUUUGCCGAAAUUGGAGAAUGUCAUUCCUAAGUUU